Magnolia sinica is the source of this 424-nucleotide long non-coding RNA. RefSeq lists it as uncharacterized. Lineage: Eukaryota; Viridiplantae; Streptophyta; Magnoliopsida; Magnoliales; Magnoliaceae. The transcript has 3 exons. The record is from RefSeq and is a predicted model, not a curated record.
UGUGUUAGCAGGCGUGUCUUUCUACUAUAUGCUCUUAUCUCAAUCUCUCGAAUUCUCAUAUCAGAUCUUUGGAGAAGACUAUGAGACUGCGGAAGUUUACAAAGCUCGAACCAAAGACAUUGUUGUUGCAACUGUCCGUGGAUUUAAUGGCAAACCAAUCUCAGUUUUGGACGGAGUUCCAAUUGCUAUCAAGGAUGAGAUAGAUUGCAUGCCCUAUCCAACUACAGUAUAGUCUACUAAAAGGUGGAAACCAACCGGUGCAAAAUCAGUUCUGGAAUUCUACUGGUUUAAAGGUAUUUCUCUUGAUUGGGGUUUAAGCCUCAGAAAAAUUAACUCCUGGUGGCACGUGUUUUGUUUAAUGGUAUUUCUCUUGAUUUAAUGGUCUCAUGCAGCUAGCUUUCAACAGUAAGAUAUGAGAACCCUG